RNAcentral lists this ribosomal RNA (443 nucleotides) under uncultured bacterium. RNAcentral's name for it is "partial 16S ribosomal RNA". It matches the Rfam family "Bacterial small subunit ribosomal RNA", at positions 338 to 795 of the family's 1533-position model. The record is from RNAcentral.
CCUACGGGUGGCAGCAGUGGGGAAUAUUGGGCAAUGGGCGCAAGCCUGACCCAGCAACGCCGCGUGAAGGAAGAAGGCUUUCGGGUUGUAAACUUCUUUUCUCAGGGACGAAGCAAGUGACGGUACCUGAGGAAUAAGCCACGGCUAACUACGUGCCAGCAGCCGCGGUAAUACGUAGGUGGCAAGCGUUAUCCGGAUUUACUGGGUGUAAAGGGCGUGUAGGCGGGAAAGCAAGUCAGAUGUGAAAACCAUGGGCUCAACCUGUGGCCUGCAUUUGAAACUGUUUUUCUUGAGUACUGGAGAGGCAGACGGAAUUACUAGUGUAGCGGUGAAAUGCGUAGAGAUUAGGAGGAACACCAGUGGCGAAGGCGGUCUGCUGGACAGCAACUGACGCUGAGGCGCGAAAGCGUGGGGAGCAAACAGGAUUAGAUACCCCUGUAGUC